Long non-coding RNA from Ceratitis capitata (Mediterranean fruit fly), 2905 nucleotides. RefSeq lists it as uncharacterized. The transcript has 3 exons. The record is from RefSeq and is a predicted model, not a curated record. Lineage: Eukaryota; Metazoa; Arthropoda; Insecta; Diptera; Tephritidae.
GAAUCAAUUAAAAACAAUUUUUAACAAAAGCGAGCAUAACCUAAAUAUUUUAAAAUUCGGUGUAAAAAAUUAACAGCAUUUUCGUGAGUUUGAGGUUAGAUAAUUUGUUUUUUUUUAUGAUUGGAAAGUUGUUCAUGUAAAAGAAACAUAUCAGAAUUAAAUUUAGUAAAAAGUCACUUCGCUGCAAAAUCAUUUAAUACAAAUUGCAUUUCAUAUGAAGCAAGGAUAAUUUGACAACUGUCAAACAGUGUUGCUAUUCGCCUAUAUGUGUGUAUGUAACUCGCCACGUAGCACAUGCCUCUCGUUAGUAACUAAACAAGGUACGCAAGCACUUAAAAGCGAGUUAUCAACAUUCUAUUUUAUGGCAGACACCUUAUCAAUAAAGGUAUAAUGAAACCAACUAUUUUGGCAAACUUCCGCAUAGAAAUGAAAUAAAAAAACAAUUUUAAAAAUAAUAUUCAUUAGCGCAGCAGUCGCCUGUGCGCAGCUGUUCAAAUGUCUAGCUUCCCAACUAUUAAACGCACAUAACGGUAAAACGUGCCCUAACACAAUUGAAAAUCAACGACUAUCGCCUAUAUAUACGAGUAUAUACAUAUGUAUCAUAUAUAAAAUUAAUGUUAUUUAUGAAUUUAUUAUGCGUAUUCUCUAUAAAUUUGUAUUUGUUUUUUUUUUUCUGAUUACUUAGCUGUUAUCAUUUUAUAGCCAGACAAAGACGGUCUGUCGAGUUAACUACAAAUAACAUAAUUAAUGGCAAUAUUAUAAUUAAUAAAAGUGAAAUUAUUUAAUUCCUAGGCAAAUACGCACUUAAGAUAAUGCAAAACAUUGUAACUGUGAACGAUAGUUUGAGACAGAUAAAUGUGUCAAACCAGAAAAAAGAACAAAUUAUCAUAAAUAAAAUUAUACAUACAUAUAUAGUGCAUAAAUAUGUAAUCACUAUCUGAAAAGCCCUUGAUAUGAACUUGAAACACAUAAAGCUGUAAGGUAUGUAUGCAUAUAGUGUAAAGUUAUUUUGCUUAACAAUGAGAGCAUCAAGCACACACAUACAUAUUAACAUAAAUUAUAUAUAAUUUAUUUUAUAAAAAGAAUUCCUGACAGCUGAAGGCCGUCAUUUUUCGAUCUUAGUAAGCUUAUGACAAUAUAUUUUGAUCACAUUUCUCUGCAUUAGUUAUCGCCAACGGCACUUCAACACUAAUAGGUUAUCGAUUUUUAUCGCAUAUCGGAAUCGUUGGCUGUUGUGUUUAUCAAGUAAUAAAGUGUCAGUUGCAUUUACAAUUUAAUUUAUGGGCAUAAAAAAUGUGUAAAUGUUGUUUAUUAUCAAUUAUUGCCAAUAUUUAGAUAUUUAUGUGUGUGUAUGUACAUGUGUGCAGUGAAGUGCGCGCAAUGAAGAGCGCACAAUUUACGUUGAAAUUGUGAUACGUGUAAAUAGUUAAGAACCAGAGCAUGACGGCCGCGAGUUUGCCGCUCAGUUUGGACAAAUGUUUGCGCUGCAAAUAUAUGUAUGUAGUAGUUGGCAGCACCACGCGAAAAGCAGCAGGAAAAUCAGAAGUGGUAUACAAUGUGAAAAGAAGCAAGUCGUGUAGUCGUAUUGAUCAACUGUUUAAAUGAGUAACAUCUCUAAGGAUCGGGUUUUCGAGUGCCUAUCAAUGUGAGAAUCACGAAUCAGGCAGUUAAAUUUAACGAUAAACGGUGACAGUGCUGCGAAGAGGAAGAAAGGAACAACGUAAAUCAGCUAAACUUAAGUAAAGUAAAUUUCUCUUAGCAGAGUCUUCUUAAAACCUUUACUCAAGCUCAUGAAUAUAAAUAUGCGUCACUUUCCUUCAUAUUUGAUCAGCUGUUUGUUUGUUUGCAAACAGAACAGAUGUCACUGCCACAGCCACAUACUAAUACAGCAUUUCACGACAGCGCAAUUACGUGUUUCGCUCUCUCAAUCGUUAUUCGCACUCUAAAUACAUACCGAAUUAUUUAAUUCACCCUCUAAAUACAUGCCGAAUACAAAUUUUCGUGAGACAAUUACACUAAAAGUGGGUAAUUCAUAAUCGAUUCCCUUGCAAAUUAGAGAUACAAAAAAUACAAAAAGUUAAUCAUUACACAGCCUAUUCAACAUAGACGUGUUAUCGUUAACUCUCCAGGAAGACAACCUAACCUAACUUUAUUUAAGAUUCAUAGAUGAAAUCACAAGUUCUAAAAUUCUAUUAAUUUCUUUCUGAAAAUAGUUGGAAGAAACAAUUGGUACGCAAGCGGAGAAGAGUUAUACAAACACUAUUUUUUGGAUAAUAUACUGGCCGGGCGUGCACUGUGGCUAGACUUUAUUCACCGUUUUUCAAACGGCACAAAUAUGCAUAGUACGUAGACUUAUGCUGCCUACUGUAUAUUCAGUGGAAAAAGGGUUUUUUUUGGACUACAAAAAAAAUACUGGUUUGUUGCAUUCUUGAUUUAUAUGAGCAGUUAAAACUUCAAAAUACAAUAAUAACGUUCAGCUGAUAAAGUGACCCGAUAGGAAAAAUAUGCGUGAAUGCGCUAAGGGCAUGUACAUACAAAAAAGGUACUUAUCUCACAAUUUGCUAUUAGAAUAAACACAAAGAUUGAAAUAGAUUUGAAAAAUAAAAAAAAUCCAUCAUACAUUCGCCAUAAAUGCACAUUAACAUAUACAUCUGUACAUCUGUACAUAUAUUGCUUUUACUUAUAAGCUCUGUCUACAGUCAGACCUCCCGGGCCAUACAUUCACUUUGUAAAUAAUAUUUUUUUUAUUAGGCGCUUAUCAAAAUGUCUAAAUAUAUGAAACAGUGUUUGCAUGUACAUAUGUACACGCGUGUAAUUAAUUUAAGUAAGCACCUUGUUUUUCAGAAAUUUUUGCCAGUCAUCAUUAUCAGCACCAACCCAAACACAAUAAACAAUUUUAUUGACA